This 435-nucleotide ribosomal RNA is filed under the name uncultured bacterium. RNAcentral's name for it is "partial 16S ribosomal RNA". It matches the Rfam family "Bacterial small subunit ribosomal RNA", at positions 29 to 507 of the family's 1533-position model. The record is from RNAcentral.
AGCGAACGCUGGCGGCAGGCUUAACACAUGCAAGUCGAGCGGGCACUUUCGGGUGUCAGCGGCGGACGGGUGAGUAACGCGUGGGAACGUGCCCUCUGGUUCGGAAUAACUCAGGGAAACUUGAGCUAAUACCGGAUACGCCCUUUUGGGGAAAGGCUUGCUGCCGGAGGAUCGGCCCGCGGCUGAUUAGCUAGUUGGUGAGGUAACGGCUCACCAAGGCGACGAUCAGUAGCUGGUCUGAGAGGAUGAUCAGCCACACUGGGACUGAGACACGGCCCAGACUCCUACGGGAGGCAGCAGUGGGGAAUAUUGGACAAUGGGCGCAAGCCUGAUCCAGCCAUGCCGCGUGAGUGAUGAAGGCCUUAGGGUUGUAAAGCUCUUUUAUCCGGGACGAUAAUGACGGUACCGGAGGAAUAAGCCCCGGCUAACUUCGUG